GACAGAGGAUGCAAGCGUUAUCCGGAAUGAUUGGGCGUAAAGCGUCCGCAGGUGGUAAUGUAAGUCUGCUGUUAAAGAGUGAGGCUCAACCUCAUAAGAGCAGUGGAAACUACAUAGCUAGAGUACGUUCGGGGCAGAGGGAAUUCCUGGUGUAGCGGUGAAAUGCGUAGAGAUCAGGAAGAACACCGGUGGCGAAGGCGCUCUGCUAGGCCGUAACUGACACUGAGGGACGAAAGCUAGGGGAGCGAAUGGG
Molecule: ribosomal RNA, 253 nt
Filed under: uncultured bacterium
Lineage: Bacteria
Description: partial 16S ribosomal RNA
Rfam family: Bacterial small subunit ribosomal RNA
Source: RNAcentral